This 485-nucleotide ribosomal RNA is filed under the name uncultured bacterium. RNAcentral describes it as "bacterial SSU rRNA". It matches the Rfam family "Bacterial small subunit ribosomal RNA", at positions 327 to 800 of the family's 1533-position model. The record is from RNAcentral.
GCUGUGGAACUCCUACGGGAGGCAGCAGCGGGGAAUAUUGGACAAUGGGCGCAAGCCUGAUCCAGCCAUGCCGCGUGUGUGAAGAAGGCCUUCGGGUUGUAAAGCACUUUCAGUAGGGAGGAAGAGUUGAGUGUUAAUAGUACUCAGCUUUGACGUUACCUACAGAAGAAGCACCGGCUAACUCUGUGCCAGCAGCCGCGGUAAUACAGAGGGUGCAAGCGUUAAUCGGAAUUACUGGGCGUAAAGCGUGCGCAGGCGGUUGUGUAAGUCAGAUGUGAAAUCCCCGGGCUCAACCUGGGAAUUGCAUUUGAGACUGCACGGCUAGAGUGUGUCAGAGGGGGGUAGAAUUCCACGUGUAGCAGUGAAAUGCGUAGAUAUGUGGAGGAAUACCGAUGGCGAAGGCAGCCCCCUGGGAUAACACUGACGCUCAUGCACGAAAGCGUGGGGAGCAAACAGGAUUAGAAACCCGGGUAGUCCUACCACGU